GACGAACGCUGGCGGCGUGCCUAACACAUGCAAGUCGAACGGGGCCGGGGGCAACUCCGGUUCAGUGGCGGACGGGUGCGUAACACGUGAGGAACAUGACUUUCGGCGGGGGAUAGCCGGCCCAACGGCCGGGUAAUACCGCGUACGACCUCUCGGGGACAUCCCCGGUUGGUGAAAGCAGCAAUGCACCGAAAGAGUGCCUCGCGGCCUAUCAGCUAGUUGGUGGGGUAACGGCUCACCAAGGCGACGACGGGUAGCUGGUCUGAGAGGAUGGCCAGCCACAUUGGGACUGAGACACGGCCCAGACUCCUACGGGAGGCAGCAGUGGGGAAUAUUGCGCAAUGGGCGAAAGCCUGACGCAGCGACGCCGCGUGUGGGAUGACGGCCUUCGGGUUGUAAACCACUGUCGGGAGGGACGAAUGCGCCGCAAGGCGAGUGACGGUACCUCCAAAGGAAGCACCGGCUAACUCCGUGCCAGCAGCCGCGGUAAUACGGAGGGUGCGAGCGUUGUCCGGAAUCACUGGGCGUAAAGGGCGCGUAGGCGGCCUGAUAAGUAGGGGGUGAAAUCCUGCGGCUUAACCGCAGGGCUGCCUUCUAAACUGUCAGGCUCGAGCACAGUAGAGGCAGGUGGAAUUCCCGGU
This 641-nucleotide ribosomal RNA is filed under the name uncultured bacterium. RNAcentral's name for it is "bacterial SSU rRNA". It matches the Rfam family "Bacterial small subunit ribosomal RNA", at positions 28 to 674 of the family's 1533-position model. The record is from RNAcentral.